RNAcentral lists this ribosomal RNA (900 nucleotides) under Arthrobacter sp. RNAcentral describes it as "bacterial SSU rRNA". It matches the Rfam family "Bacterial small subunit ribosomal RNA", at positions 57 to 968 of the family's 1533-position model. The record is from RNAcentral. Lineage: Bacteria; Bacillati; Actinomycetota; Actinomycetes; Micrococcales; Micrococcaceae.
GCAGUCGAACGAUGAUCCGGUGCUUGCACCGGGGAUUAGUGGCGAACGGGUGAGUAACACGUGAGUAACCUGCCCUUAACUCUGGGAUAAGCCUGGGAAACUGGGUCUAAUACCGGAUAUGACUGACCGUCGCAUGGUGGUUGGUGGAAAGCUUUAUUGUGGUUUUGGAUGGACUCGCGGCCUAUCAGCUUGUUGGUGAGGUAAUGGCUUACCAAGGCGACGACGGGUAGCCGGCCUGAGAGGGUGACCGGCCACACUGGGACUGAGACACGGCCCAGACUCCUACGGGAGGCAGCAGUGGGGAAUAUUGCACAAUGGGCGCAAGCCUGAUGCAGCGACGCCGCGUGAGGGAUGACGGCCUUCGGGUUGUAAACCUCUUUCAGUAGGGAAGAAGCGAAAGUGACGGUACCUGCAGAAGAAGCGCCGGCUAACUACGUGCCAGCAGCCGCGGUAAUACGUAGGGCGCAAGCGUUAUCCGGAAUUAUUGGGCGUAAAGAGCUCGUAGGCGGUUUGUCGCGUCUGCCGUGAAAGUCCGGGGCUCAACUCCGGAUCUGCGGUGGGUACGGGCAGACUAGAGUGAUGUAGGGGAGACUGGAAUUCCUGGUGUAGCGGUGAAAUGCGCAGAUAUCAGGAGGAACACCGAUGGCGAAGGCAGGUCUCUGGGCAUUAACUGACGCUGAGGAGCGAAAGCAUGGGGAGCGAACAGGAUUAGAUACCCUGGUAGUCCAUGCCGUAAACGUUGGGCACUAGGUGUGGGGGACAUUCCACGUUUUCCGCGCCGUAGCUAACGCAUUAAGUGCCCCGCCUGGGGAGUACGGCCGCAGGCUAAAACUCAAAGGAAUUGACGGGGGCCCGCCCAAGCGGCGGAGCAUGCGGAUUAAUUCGAUGCAACGCGAAGAA